AUACUGAAGACACUCGGGGUGAACUAUACCUGCCCUGUUUCCCAGCUGGAGUUCCAGCUUGUCUCAGUGCGCACAUGUACCAGGGCGAAAAGGUUGAAUGAAUUCACAUGUGCGGGCUGCAAAGGCCUCUACAGCUCAAAAGUGGAGCAGUUCCACACACUGCCUCUUGUGCUGGUUCUGCACCUGAAGAGGUUCGGAGGACCUGGGG
Molecule: long non-coding RNA, 208 nt
Organism: Oncorhynchus gorbuscha (pink salmon)
Lineage: Eukaryota; Metazoa; Chordata; Actinopteri; Salmoniformes; Salmonidae
Exons: 3
Source: RefSeq, a predicted model, not a curated record